GUCAAAUGAAUUCUUUUAUCUGAUUCUCGAUCAAAUCUCUUUUUUCUCUCUAGUGUAUGUAUGUAUAUAUAUAUAUACAUACACACAUGCAUCUUAAAAAUUGUGAAAAAAUGGGGCGUUGAAAGUCGGUGAAUUGACUGCCACGUGCAUAUAUUAUAUUCAGUUUCGUGGCUAGACUUUUGCUUACAAAGGGAUUUUUCAGAAAUAAAAGAGAAAUAUUUGGAGCAUGGGAUGUUGAAAUAUAUCGCCUUUAAUCGUCGCGGAACCUUCUAGUUAGCUUCAAUGUAAUAGGCAAAUAAAAAAUUGAUACUCGUGC
RNAcentral lists this long non-coding RNA (316 nucleotides) under Olea europaea (common olive). RNAcentral describes it as "long non-coding RNA (OEUR_LNC003096)". The record is from RNAcentral. Lineage: Eukaryota; Viridiplantae; Streptophyta; Magnoliopsida; Lamiales; Oleaceae.